GUAAUGAGUAAAGCUGCUGGGUUGUAUGCACACUUUUGUGUGAAUUGAAAUUUCCCUUCCUCUUGGGUGACUCUUUGGGGUGGGAUUGCCGGGCCACAUGGUAAAUAUACAUUUAACUUCGUAAGCAGCUCUCAAACUCUUCUCCAAAGGAGCUGCACCAUUUUGCAUUCCCUUUGGGCAGAGAAUUCCAGGUACUCAGCAUCCUUGCCAACACUGAUAUAGUCAGCGUUUGUCCUCCCUCCCCUCCUCCCGCUCCCUCUCCCGCUUUCAUUCUUUCUUUCACUGGCAUUAUAACAGGUGUGUGGGGGGGAAACUUUUUACCGAGAUGCAAUAGCAUCAGAGCAAUGCACGAAUCCCAUGUCAAGCUUGAUGAGCUUUUAUAAAGUGAAUGCAUCCUUGUAACCACCCUCCCAAUCAGAAACCAGAGCGUACCCAGUGUCCCAGAAAUGGCCCUGUGCCCUCUCCCUGUGCUGGGGACUGGACAUUGUGGCUCCCCCUUCUGAGUUCAUAUGUUGAAAUCCUAACCCCUGUGAUGAUAUUGGGGCGGGGGGGAGCUUAGGGACGUGCUCAGGUCAUGAGAGUGGAGCCCCUGUGAAUGGGAGCCGUGCCUUUCUAAGAGGAGACGCUAGGGGGCUUGCUCCCUCUCUCUCCUCCAUUCCAAAGGCAGCUUUAUUCUGACUUCUGUCAUCAUCACCCUUCUUUAAAUAAGAUGGUUCCCUGUCUACUCCUUUGGGUGGCUUCUCGUGCUCAGCAUUAUGUUUGAGAGGUUCAUGCAUAUUGUUGCGUGUAGUUAGUGUUUGUUUAUCUUCUCGCUACGGAACAUUCCACUGUGUGAAUAUGCCACAACUACUGAACGGUUCUCUUGUUGAUAGUCCUGUGGGUUAUUCCCAGGUUUUGUCUUUUAUGAAUACUGCUUCUGUGAAUGUUCUUAUUGCUGUUUGUGGGGGGGGGCACUUAAGACCACCAACCAGUUCACUCGUUCCCAAGAAGGACUCACAGAGCUCAGAAGGAAAGCUGUUUUAUUCAGUUCUGGUUUAUUAUAGUGAAAGAAUACAGACUAAAAUCAUCGAUGGGAAAAGAUUCCUAAUGAAGAGCCAAGUCCAGGAUCGUUCUGUCGCUCUUUCCCAGUGACAGACAGCACUCAGCUCUCCCAGGUGUGCUGUGGGGCAGAAGACAUGGAUUAGUGCUAACCAGGGCAGCUCACCCCAGCCAUGGUGCCCAGGGGCUUCACUGGGGUUAGGUCAUGUAGAUACGGUGAUGACUCAUGUGGCUGUCCUGAGUUUCCAGCUCCUCCAGAGGUCAAGCUGAUACCCUGUGGCCUGUGGCCCGUGCCCGGGCCGUAAAUUACCUUGUUAGCUUAGAUGAUCUGGCAGGUCCCACAGCUCCCAGGUAAACAAGGAAAGCCUUAUUGGUCAAGGCCUUCCAAGCCUUAGAGGUUACCUCCCAGGAGCUGCUCAAGGACCAAACCUUUCUUGGGCAAGGUUAAUCCUUAUUGCACACUUACUCGGAUGUGUCUUUUGGUGAAUCUUUGAACCAUUGCCAGUGGACACAUACCGAGGAAUAAAGUUGCUGUAUCAUCACUUACACGUAUGUUCAGCUUUAGUGGUUAUUCUCAGCAGUUUUCCAAAGGGACCGAAUCAAUUUACAUUCUCACCAGUGUGUAAGACCUGGCUUUGCACCAUGUCUUCUCCAACACUGGCUGUUGUCAGAUGCUUCGUUUUAUUAAUUGGAGCCGUCCUGGUGGGUGGUAGUAACAUCUCAUUGUGCUUUCAGUCUGCCUAUCUCUGCUGAGUAAUUGUGAUGAGCUCAGCAGAGAUAGGCAGACUGUUUGUGUGCUCAGCAGUCAUUUUGCUCUCCUCUGCACUUAUCAACCUCCUGUAUUGCAAUUCACUUUGAUCAGUUGAAUUCAAUUCAAUUCAACCAUCCUAUAAAUCUCCUACUGUCGACCAGACCGGUGCUCAGGCAGUGAGAAAUGUUGACAGUGAAUGAAGCAUAUUUCACACCCUCCAGGUACACAUGUUCACACACAGAAGAAGCAUCUCCUUAUGAAUUGAUGUGGAAAGACCCCCAAAAUAUUCAAAGUGGAAAAAGGUACAGAAGAAAUGUGUAUGGUAUAUGCUGCCAUUUGCAUGGAACGUCUGUGGCAGAAAUGAGUGUGCAUGUACACACACACACACAGUCUUGAAUCAUGCAUCAACCUUUUUCAGGAGGAUAAACAGAAACUAGAAUAGCCACCUAUAAAGGAAGAAACCUAGGGGAAUGGAGAAUGAUGGGGGGGCACUUUUCACUGUACAGUUAAUUCCUUGCACCAUCUGAGAGUUCAACCAAUCAUGAAUUGAAAAUAUUCAGAAAAAAAAAUCCGUACAGUCCAAAAAGCAAAACAUGCAUUUGCCACGCGCUGGCAGCCACGUCCAUAGCAUUUACAUGGUUUUUAGGAAUUAUAAGUGAUCUAGAGAUGGUGUGAAGUGUGCAGGAAGGUGUGGGUAGGUUAUAUGCAAAUACCAUGCCAUUCUGUAUAAGGGACUUCAGCAGCCCAGUUUGGUGGCUGUGGGGCAGGGCCGUGUAGGGGCGGUUGUGCUGGACACACUCCCUUGUCGAUUGUGUGAGACAACUGCACACCGUUUUAUACUCUGAUGUGGAGUUUCCAUCGUGGCUCAGUGGUUAACGAAUCUGACUAGGAACCACGAGGUUGCAGGUUCGAUCCCUGGCCUUGCUCAGUGGGUUGAGGAUCUGGCAUUGCUGUGAGCUGUGGUGUAGACUGGCGGCUACAGCUCCGAUUCGACCCCUAGCCUGGGAACCUCCAUAUGACACGGGUGCGGCCCUAAAAAGACAAAAAAAAAAAAAAAA
Molecule: long non-coding RNA, 2847 nt
Filed under: Sus scrofa (pig)
Lineage: Eukaryota; Metazoa; Chordata; Mammalia; Artiodactyla; Suidae
Description: lncRNA (ENSSSCG00000057473.1)
Source: RNAcentral